RNAcentral lists this ribosomal RNA (1065 nucleotides) under Rhodotorula mucilaginosa. RNAcentral describes it as "eukaryotic LSU rRNA". The stretch from base 149 to 302 matches the Rfam family "5.8S ribosomal RNA". The record is from RNAcentral. Lineage: Eukaryota; Fungi; Basidiomycota; Microbotryomycetes; Sporidiobolales; Sporidiobolaceae.
CAUGGUAAUGGAGUCACUUACUUGGAGUCCGACUCUCACUUUCUAACCCUGUGCACUUGUUUGGGAUAGUAACUCUCGCAAGAGAGCGAACUCCUAUUCACUUAUAAACACAAAGUCUAUGAAUGUAUUAAAUUUUAUAACAAAAUAAAACUUUCAACAACGGAUCUCUUGGCUCUCGCAUCGAUGAAGAACGCAGCGAAAUGCGAUAAGUAAUGUGAAUUGCAGAAUUCAGUGAAUCAUCGAAUCUUUGAACGCACCUUGCGCUCCAUGGUAUUCCGUGGAGCAUGCCUGUUUGAGUGUCAUGAAUACUUCAACCCUCCUCUUUCUUAAUGAUUGAAGAGGUGUUUGGUUUCUGAGCGCUGCUGGCCUUUACGGUCUAGCUCGUUCGUAAUGCAUUAGCAUCCGCAAUCGAACUUCGGAUUGACUUGGCGUAAUAGACUAUUCGCUGAGGAAUUCUAGUCUUCGGAUUAGAGCCGGGUUGGGUUAAAGGAAGCUUCUAAUCAGAAUGUCUACAUUUUAAGAUUAGAUCUCAAAUCAGGUAGGACUACCCGCUGAACUUAAGCAUAUCAAUAAACCGGAGGAAAACUUGGUGGCCGAACUCCCCCCUUCUUACCCACCCGGGGUGUUUGGGAGAGUAACUCUUCCCAGGAGAGCAAACUACUAUUCUCUUAUUUACACAAAGCGAUGAUGAUGUAAUUUUUUUACAAAAUAAAAAUUUUUUCACGGAUCUCUUGGUUCUCCCUCCUUGAGAAGGCCGCGAUGCGACAGAAUGUGAGUUGCUGAAUUAUUGAAUCAUCGAUCAUUGAUGACCCUGCUUCCUUGUAUUCGGUGAGCAGCCUGUUGAUUGGCAGAAUAAUACACCACCUCUUUCUUAUGAAUGAGAAGUAGUUUGUUUCUGACGAUGCUGCUGUUACUGUACCAGCCAGUCGUAGAUUAACUACCCAUCAACUUAGGUUGAUGCUGAUAACUAUGCAUGACGUAUUCGAUCUUCGAUCGAGCGAGUGGUGAGUACGAUGCUCGAGCGCUUAUUAGUUCGAUCAGUACGUAGACAUGGCGGAGCGAUGU